This 199-nucleotide long non-coding RNA is filed under the name Carica papaya (papaya). Its description in RNAcentral is "long non-coding RNA (CPAP_LNC005385)". Lineage: Eukaryota; Viridiplantae; Streptophyta; Magnoliopsida; Brassicales; Caricaceae. The record is from RNAcentral.
GGAUGACUUUCUGUUUGGGAGUCACCCCAAGCAUCAUAAAGACCUUCUCUGUUUUAAUUAACUAGUACUCGACCUCUUCAAAGGAGGAUUCCCCCGCAAAAGUAGAUAGAUUUAGUCUUUUAUACCUCUCAAUGUAGCUUGGGUCCAUCAUGAGAGGAGCUGAAUCCCGUGGAAGAGGGACUGGAUUGUGCUGAGGAUG